RNAcentral lists this ribosomal RNA (544 nucleotides) under uncultured bacterium. Its description in RNAcentral is "bacterial SSU rRNA". It matches the Rfam family "Bacterial small subunit ribosomal RNA", at positions 9 to 526 of the family's 1533-position model. The record is from RNAcentral.
GAGUUUGAUCCUGGCUCAGGAUGAACGCUGGCGGCGUGCUUAACACAUGCAAGUCGAACGAAGCACUUUAUUUGAUUUCCUUCGGGACUGAUUAUUUUGUGACUGAGUGGCGGACGGGUGAGUAACGCGUGGGUAACCUGCCUUGUACAGGGGGAUAACAGUUGGAAACGGCUGCUAAUACCGCAUAAGCGCACAGCAUCGCAUGAUGCAGUGUGAAAAACUCCGGUGGUAUAAGAUGGACCCGCGUUGGAUUAGCUAGUUGGUGAGGUAACGGCCCACCAAGGCGACGAUGCAUAGCCGGCCUGAGAGGGCGGACGGCCACAUUGGGACUGAGACACGGCCCAAACUCCUACGGGAGGCAGCAGUAGGGAAUUUUCGUCAAUGGGGGGAACCCUGAACGAGCAAUGCCGCGUGAGUGAGGAAGGUCUUCGGAUCGUAAAGCUCUGUUGUAAGAGAAAAACGGCACUCAUAGGGAAUGAUGAGUGAGUGAUGGUAUCUUACCAGAAAGUCACGGCUAACUACGUGCCAGCAGCCGCGGUAAUUC